GACGAACGCUGGCGGCGUGCUUAACACAUGCAAGUCGAACGGAAAGGCCCUGCUUUUGUGGGGUGCUCGAGUGGCGAACGGGUGAGUAACACGUGAGUAACCUGCCCUUGACUUUGGGAUAACUUCAGGAAACUGGGGCUAAUACCGGAUAGGAGCUCCUGCUGCAUGGUGGGGGUUGGAAAGUUUCGGCGGUUGGGGAUGGACUCGCGGCCUAUCAGCUUGUUGGUGGGGUAGUGGCUUACCAAGGCUUUGACGGGUAGCCGGCCUGGGAGGGUGACCGGCCACAUUGGGACUGAGAUACGGCCCAGACUCCUACGGGAGGCAGCAGUGGGGAAUAUUGCACAAUGGGCGGAAGCCUGGUGCAGCAACGCCGCGUGCGGGAUGACGGCCUUCGGGUUGUAAACCGCUUUCGCCUGUGACGAAGCGUGAGUGACGGUAAUGGGUAAAGAAGCACCGGCUAACUACGUG
Molecule: ribosomal RNA, 468 nt
Filed under: uncultured bacterium
Lineage: Bacteria
Description: partial 16S ribosomal RNA
Rfam family: Bacterial small subunit ribosomal RNA
Source: RNAcentral